This 81-nucleotide transfer RNA is filed under the name Neotoma lepida (desert woodrat). It matches the Rfam family "tRNA". Rfam says of the family: Transfer RNA (tRNA) molecules are approximately 80 nucleotides in length. Their secondary structure includes four short double-helical elements and three loops (D, anti-codon, and T loops). The record is from Rfam by way of RNAcentral. Lineage: Eukaryota; Metazoa; Chordata; Mammalia; Rodentia; Cricetidae.
GCCUGGCUAGCUCAGUCGGUAGAGCAUGAGACUCUUAAUCUCAGGAUCCCAGGGUCGUGGGUUCGAGCCCCACGUUGGGCG